GACGAACGCUGGCGGCGUGCUUAACACAUGCAAGUCGAGCGGUAAGGCCCUUUCGGGGUACGACGAGCGGCGAACGGGUGAGUAACACGUGGGUGACCUGCCCUCAGCUCUGGGAUAAGCCCGGGAAACUGGGUCUAAUACUGGAUAUGACUCCAUGACGCAUGUUGUGGGGUGGAAAGCCUUGUGCGGCGUGGGGAGUGGGCCCGCGGCCUAUCAGCUUGUUGGUGGGGUGAUGGCCUACCAAGGCGACGACGGGUAGCCGGCCUGAGAGGGCGACCGGCCACACUGGGACUGAGACACGGCCCAGACUCCUACGGGAGGCAGCAGUGGGGAAUCUUGCGCAAUGGGCGAAAGCCUGACGCAGCGACGCCGCGUGAGGGAUGACGGCCUGG
This 392-nucleotide ribosomal RNA is filed under the name uncultured bacterium. Its description in RNAcentral is "bacterial SSU rRNA". It matches the Rfam family "Bacterial small subunit ribosomal RNA", at positions 28 to 419 of the family's 1533-position model. The record is from RNAcentral.